RNAcentral lists this unclassified non-coding RNA (713 nucleotides) under Hevea brasiliensis (rubber tree). The record is from RNAcentral. Lineage: Eukaryota; Viridiplantae; Streptophyta; Magnoliopsida; Malpighiales; Euphorbiaceae.
GAUAUUGAAAAGGAGGAUGCUUUCCGAGGUCUAUGUGCAAUGGCUCGAGCAAAUCCUUCAGGAGCUCUAAGUUCACUAGUUUUCAUGUGCAAAGCUAUAGCAAGUUGNNNNNNNNGCAUGAAAUAAGGAGCAAAGAGCUGCACAAUGAAGUUUGUCAGGUGUUGCAUGGUUAUAAACAGAUGCUUAGAAAUGGAACAUGGGACGAGUAUAUGUCUGCUCUGGAGCCUCCAGUAAAGGAAAAGCUGUCAAAAUAUCAAGUAUAAUAGAAUUCCAGUUUCACUUGCUGGAAUUCUUGCAUGGUAUUUGGGUCUUCUGUGCUGGGUAUUUGCUUCAGCCAUGACAAUUGUUUUGUGCUUUGUCCUAUAUGAUUGGCCACAAGUCGUUUGGGCAUAGACCAGGAUUUCGUCACGAUUUUUUAUCAUGAAAAGCAUUGGUAUUGCCGUAAUUCGAUGAAGCUUGUAGCUAUGUGCACCUCUUCAAAACAUUCAUCAGAUUUGUUGUUUGCACUUCAUGUGGUUUAAGAAAAAUGAAGAAAUGGGAUGUAGAAAUGGUGGGCAGGGGUGCAACUUCCAAGCUUUUUGGAGCAUUUUUCUUAUUUAUGUCUGGUGCUAGGAUGGCCAAUAAUUAUCUCAUUCAAGCUUCCAAUUCUUAUUCUUUUUGGCUCUGGAUUUUUUUUUUCUUUCCUCCAGUUGACAGGUUUUUGUGUGAUUUCC